UCUACGGGCGGCAGCAGUGGGGAAUAUUGCACAAUGGGCGAAACCCUGAUGCAGCGACGCCGCGUGAGUGAAGAAGUAAUUCGUUAUGUAAAGCUCUAUCAGCAGGGAAGAACAUGACGGUACCGGAGUAAGAAGCCACGGCCAAAUACGUGCCAGCAGCCGCGGGAAUACGUAGGGGGCAAGCGUGAUCCGGAUUUACUGGGGGUAAAGGGAGCGUAGACGGGUGUGCAAGUCUGGAGUGAAAGGCGUGGGGUCAACCCCCGGAGUGCUCUGGAAACUGUACGGCUAGAGUGAAAGAGAGGUAAGUGGAAUUCCAAGUGUAGCGGUGAAAUGCGUAGAUAUUAGGAGGAACACCAGUGGCGAAGGCAGCUUACUGGACUGUAACUGACGUUGAGGCUCGAAAGCGUGGGGAGCAAACAGGAUUAGAUACCCGAGUAGUC
This 440-nucleotide ribosomal RNA is filed under the name uncultured bacterium. RNAcentral describes it as "partial 16S ribosomal RNA". It matches the Rfam family "Bacterial small subunit ribosomal RNA", at positions 338 to 795 of the family's 1533-position model. The record is from RNAcentral.